This is a long non-coding RNA of Papaver somniferum (opium poppy), 1041 nucleotides long. RefSeq lists it as uncharacterized. The transcript is spliced from 4 exons. The record is from RefSeq and is a predicted model, not a curated record. Lineage: Eukaryota; Viridiplantae; Streptophyta; Magnoliopsida; Ranunculales; Papaveraceae.
CUUAAUUUCUGUGAAUUUGUUAGUCACUGUAGGCAUCCUGGUCAUCACCCUUUGGCCUUAGUAAUUGUGGAAAAUACUAACUAAAAUACUGAAUAGAGGAAGUUCUUCCCACACUGAUAAGAAACAAAGAAACAAGUGGUUAAUUUGAUUUAUUUAAUUUCGCAGUUAUUUUUCGAUUGAAGAAAUAUGGGGUUAAACAAUGAACCAGUUGGUCCAAUACGAUUGGAAAUUCUCUCAAAUUUUUGGCGAAGAAGUUCAUAAGUCUGUAGGAAAUGUUCUCAAGUUUCUCAAACUCAUGAGGUUGACAAGGGAUGCCAUUUCAGCAUUCAUUUGGAUAGCUCAACACCUAAGCAGAGUUGGUCUCUCAUUGUCCUCGACUAAUGCGACCAAAAUAUGGUUGUAGCUGUUGCGAUUGAAUGCAUGUUUAAGGUACCUGAUCAUUCUUGAAGUGAGACAUCAUAGUUGUCCAUUUUUGCUUUUUUCGGCGAAAGCUUACAUUGUUUUGGUAGAAGAGGUCAGACAAAAUUUUCUACCCAUAUUCACAGCCCUCAAUUUAUUUUUAAAAUCAUGCAUCGUGGCAUCGUUACUCCGACACUGAAUACGAGUACCAUGUUGUUGUUGCUUUUGAGGAGGUUUCUAUUAUAGAUGUUGGUACCUCACUGGACUUGAUAGCCAAAAUUUGUUGGGAAUGAAAAGUACAAGUGUCUUCAUCUCAACGAACAAUUGCCCUUUCUUUGCCGCUUCAGAGCAGAAUCCUCCCUACGUUGUUGCAACUAUCACUCGCAAUGCUCUAUACGACUUCGCAGAAGACAAACUGGAGGAGUGGAGUAUCCCCGACAGGCAUUGUGGUGGUCCCUUUUUGGUUAAACAGAAUGAAGACAGAACUAUUAAUAUUUAUGGGCUUUCUCUGUUGGUUCUAUGAACCUUUAUUUAUUGAACUAAAGGUUGUUUUGUAGCAUCUUAAUUGUGACGUUGGCUUUUCAAUUUUAUUUUUUUUCUGCAUAAUAUUUUGAGGUAAUAUGCAAUAGAAAUAGAGAUUCG